CACAGCUCGGAAAUGUAUGUGCGACUUUGCAUGUCGUCCGGCGCAGCACACUUAUGCAAGCACUUUUGUUAAUACUCGUAAUUAAUGUGCGUAUUUACAGUACGUAACACUACGUAUAUCAGAAUUUCGUGCAUACUAAUAUUACUUAUUCAGGUUAUAAUAAAAGUAAUAAUGCUGGAACAAUGGAUGGAUACUGUAUCUCGACGUUAAUGCACAUCAUGAGACAUGAUUCACAUGAAGGAGAACUGCAAUUUACGUCCAAUUAAACAGAGAUCACUGUCACCGAUCGGCCUUUAACAUUUCAAUUUUUUUCUACCGGCUGCUGCGGGAAAGGGUGCAAGGUAUUCCGCAGACUCACCAGAACGGCGAUGGCCUCGUCAACGCGUCCGGCGUGGAGGUGCUCGCGCGCGGUGCGCAGACCGUGCUGGAAGGCCUGCACGUAGCCGCAGAAGACGGCGGCGGCGUUGCGCUGUCGCUCCCUGGCCAGCUCCUUCCAGGACUGGCCCGUGGUCUUCUUGGUGUUGUACUCGCGGUAGACGUGGUAGCUGAGCGCCGUCAGCGUGGCGGCGCUGACGCUGUAGCGCAGCAGACUCCCGCUGCUCAGGCUGCUGCGACCCAGCUGCGACAGGCCCUCCUGCACCGCUUCCGCCACCGCCAUCCUCUCUUCAGAUCGCUUCCCUUAUCACAAUAAAAACGUCACAAAUCUCCUCUCUUCCAAUCACGCACUGGCAGGGCAAACCAAAUAAAAGAAAUAAGACGGAUAACAGGAAUGCGAAGCUAUGGCUCCAUACAGGCUUCAGUCAGCUGAUGGAGUUUCACGUUCAAACGCGUUUCAGCAGCAUAGCACGCUUAUGUGAGAAUCCAAGGAAAAUGUGCAACGAACUGGACAGUUUGUCGAUUCCGGAUGACGAAAAUACUGAUCGGAUUGUGCGAAAGACGUCAGUGCAAUUGUUAUGAAUCACUUGGCGAGUCCGCGACGAUUACUAAUUCAGUGCGGCGUGCCUUCCAACUGAUGCAACCCACAGACGGAUUUUCACUCUUUGAAAGCAAGAGAGACUUUUGACUAAUGCUUAUCAGGAGCAAUUCGACCACUUACAAAUACUUAAUAACAAUUGCUGCAGCUGCAAUCAGAUGGGCACGUACGUCCAAGAUCCUAUCGGAGCAAAGAAGCUGGAAAAAAUUCAGCUCGAGCGAAAGAAACGAAGGAUUCUCCCCACUGCAACAACGGCUGCGAUGAGAAAAUCGUAGGCCACUGGUGUAACGAGCAUACUUACAAAGGGGCCAUCGCGCAUUUCAAACGGACUCCUCGCACAAGGGAAAACUCUAAAGUUGUUCGACUCGCUACGCCACUGCCGUAGGCGUUAGGGCCCAUCAACGAAUUAGGUAACGCGAUAACGCUCCCAAAAAGGCCUUCGUACUUUGUACCGUGCGUGCGUAUGUCAAUAGAUUCAUAUAUCCUUACGUCCUUAUUUUUUGGAAAUUAUCUCCUAAAUGAACAUUGAUUUUUUCAAGAAGUUAUUAAUUUCAUAAAAUACA
This is a long non-coding RNA of Paramacrobiotus metropolitanus, 1536 nucleotides long. RefSeq lists it as uncharacterized. The transcript has 3 exons. The record is from RefSeq and is a predicted model, not a curated record. NCBI's taxonomy places the organism in Eukaryota, Metazoa, Tardigrada, Eutardigrada, Parachela, Macrobiotidae.